Molecule: long non-coding RNA, 1483 nt
Organism: Rhododendron vialii
Lineage: Eukaryota; Viridiplantae; Streptophyta; Magnoliopsida; Ericales; Ericaceae
Exons: 2
Source: RefSeq, a predicted model, not a curated record
ACGUGUGUGUGAGAGAGAGAGAGCGAGAGAGAGAGAGAGAGAGUGAGUGAAAGAGCAGCGUGGAUAAGAGGAAGAAGAAGGAGAAAAGAAGAAGAAAAUUAUAGUUAGGUUGAUUGAAGCUUAAUUAGGUGAUUUCCAUCUCCUUCAAGGCUGAAUUUCAUGUUUUUCAUGUUAGGUUUCAUGUUUUACAUCUAGUAUGUACUUGAUUGAAGUAAUUAGAGAUGGAUUGAAUCCAUAGCAGAAGGUUUUUGAGCUUGGAGUUGAGUUUAUUCCUGAAAAUUCGUGUAUAACAUAUGAAUAUGCAUAACUGUGUUUUGAGCAGAGUUGAGCCUGUCCUGUUUUUGACGAAUUUUUACCAUUGACACACUGAUCAUGUUAUUUUCUGGUAUUUUUACUGUAGAUGCGUCUUUUUGUGUAGUUUAUGCUGUAAAAAUUUCAGAAUUUUCUGAGAAACCUGGAAAAAGAUAAAAAUCUUGAACCGGACUGCAGUCAGAUUCGCGUCUAUGCUGACAGCCCAGACACAUGUUGGAAAAACGGGCAUAACUUCUUGCUCGGGUAUCGGUUUUACGCACCGUUUCUUGAUUCCGAAACUAGACUUGUAUAUCUUUCUGAAUCUGUAAAGAUUGUGCCUUAGUUUGGUCUGAGAAAAAGCAGUUUUGGUUCUGAAGUUAAUAGUUUGGUGAUUCUGAAAUUCUGGGCAGGUUUUGUGGCUGUGUCCUUCAUCAAUUUUGUCAUAGUUGAAUAUGCUCACUGACUAUGGAUGCUACUGAGUCUUAAACAUUGAUCAAUUGGUGAAGUUUUGGUGUUGGAAUUAUUGGAAAAGAUUGAGUAUGUGAUUUUUAAUGAGCAUUCGAUCGCAGACUGUUCUGCCGGGUCUGUAGUUUCUGUUUUAGAUGUGUAAUUUCAAUUGAGCAUAUCUUAGUCAUUCGGAGUCCAAUUUGGGCAAAUUUUAUAUCUAGAUUGAUGUACUAGAAGUCUUCUUGCCAGUGGUGGUGGUCUUGUAGUAUUCUUUGAAACCUAUAGAAUGCUAUAGUCAGAAUUCGAUCAAUGGUUCUGCUAGAAAGUGUGUGUUUGUGAGAUUUUUGGCUUUGAGGUACAAAUUGAUGAAUUUACUUCUUUGCUUUUGGAAUUAAACUUUGAGCUCAUAUGUGCGGAAUAUUUGUUAGGUUCGGAGACGACAACGAGUACCGCAGCUCCACGUAGGGAGUGACUGCGUUGGUUUUCUUUUUGUUGGAGACCGAGUUUUGCAGGUAUAGGUCGGUGUCCACUACAGGUCGCGUUUUGCAUUUUGUGACUCGCUCGAGAAGUGCGUAGUUGAGGCCUGUGGGAGUCUUUGUCUCCUGGCCCGUAGAUGAUUUUGCUUAGUUUAGUUUUGGAUAAUAGUUGGUUAUGUAAAGUUUAUUUCUUGACAGACUUCCGCUGUAGUUUGUAAAUGAAAAAUAUUUUUUUUUGAUGUAAAUAAAAUGUGGCUGUUGAACUGUAG